RNAcentral lists this microRNA precursor (87 nucleotides) under Pelobates cultripes (western spadefoot toad). The record is from RNAcentral. Lineage: Eukaryota; Metazoa; Chordata; Amphibia; Anura; Pelobatidae.
UACAGGCAAAAGUACAAGAUAGCACUCCAGGGACUUCCAAGUGGAAGUCCCUGGAGUGCUAUCUUGUACUUUUGGCUGUAUCUGUUU